RNAcentral lists this RNase P RNA (146 nucleotides) under Enterobacter sp. Its description in RNAcentral is "partial RNase P RNA component class A". It matches the Rfam family "Bacterial RNase P class A", at positions 208 to 367 of the family's 367-position model. From Rfam's summary of the family: Ribonuclease P (RNase P) is a ubiquitous endoribonuclease, found in archaea, bacteria and eukarya as well as chloroplasts and mitochondria. Its best characterised activity is the generation of mature 5'-ends of tRNAs by cleaving the 5'-leader elements of precursor-tRNAs. Cellular RNase Ps are ribonucleoproteins. RNAcentral also lists the same sequence under 1 other name. Lineage: Bacteria; Pseudomonadati; Pseudomonadota; Gammaproteobacteria; Enterobacterales; Enterobacteriaceae. The record is from RNAcentral.
AAACUCCACCCGGAGCAAGGCCAAAUAGGGGUUCACAUGGUACGGCCCGUACUGAACCCGGGUAGGCUGCUUGAGCCAGUGAGCGAUUGCUGGCCUAGAUGAAUGACUGUCCACGACAGAACCCGGCUUAUCGGUCAGCUUCAACU